AUGAUACGUCCACUGUGGCAUCCAUCAAAAUACAGCUCUUUGAAGGCAUUACAGCUCCGUACAUGGAGCAGGUCAUUCCCCUUGAAAUCAAAGCAUCUGCAUCACCUAAGGUACCUUGAUCUCUCAAGGAGUUAUAUCGAAGCACUUCCUGAAGAUAUAAGCAUUCUAUACAACCUGCAAACAUUGAAUGUCUCUGGCUGCCAUAAACUUUGUCGGCUUCCAAGGCAAAUGAAGUAUAUGACUGCUCUCCGUCAUCUCUACACUCAUAAUUGUCCAGAGAUGACGAACAUGCCCGCUGACCUCCAAAAACUCAUGGCACUACAGACACUUACAUGUUUUGUAGCAGGUCUUGCUGGCUCUGGGUGCAGUGGUGUUGGAGAGUUGCAACAGUUAAACCUUGGUGGUGAGCUACAACUACAUCAACUAGAGAAUGUGACAGAAGAUGAUGCAAAAUCUGCAAAUCUCGAAAACAAGAAGGAACUUCAAGAAUUGUCAUUAAAAUGGAAAGUUGGUGGUAGGGAUGAUGCAAGAGUGCUCGAGGGUCUCAAACCUCAUGAUGGGCUGCAGGCUACAAGGAUAGGUUCCUACGGAGGCACCACCUUUCCAACAUGGAUGGUUAUCUUGCUAAACAUGGUUGAGAUCCAUCUUUCCAAUUGUAAGAAACUUCAAUGGUUAUUCAAUUCUGGUACAUCCUUCACUUUUCCAAAUCUGAAGGUGUUUACACUACAAGGUCUGGAAUGUUUGGAACGUUUGUGUGAAAUAACAGAAGAGGAACAAGAUGAAGAGAUAAUAUUUCCUCAGCUUGAGAAGUUGUGUGUUACAGGUUGUCCAAAUCUGAGAAUGAAAGCUAAAGCACCAAAGCUGACUGGGUUAGACUUCGAGGGAGGUGGGGAAGAUAUAUUCCUGUGGUUAACGAGAUAUAUGACUUCAUUGACCAAUCUGAAGCUGCAGAACCGUAAAGACACAGAAACAACUUCAGCGGCAGUGGCGGAAGUGUCUGAUCUUAGUUUGGCACAAAUGGUGGAGGUCAAGGAAAGAUGGAACCAUCAUGAUUUCCCUCUGGCAUAUAUGAAGUUAAAUGGCUUGAAGUCAGGUGUAACUGAGCUAUGUGCAUGUUUUAAACAGCUUGAGAUGUUGAGCAUUAUCAAUUGUGCUGCGCUUGUCUACUGGCCAGAUAAAGAGUUCCAAAGCUUGAUAUCCUUGAGAAAACUAGAGAUUUGGCACUGCAAACAACUGGUUGGAUGUGCACAAGCUCCUACAAUCGAUCCAUCAACAAUAUCGGAACCCUCGAGUCAGCCCCUGCCACGUCUCGAGUCUCUCAUGAUAUGGUGUUGUGAAAGCAUGAUAGAGAUCUUCAAACUCCCUGCAUCCCUGAGGAGAAUGGAAAUUCGAUAUUGCAGUAAGCUCAGGUCCAUAUUUAGCAGGAGUCUGCAGCAGCAGGGAGAGUCAGCACCGUCGAUUCUUCAAGGGUCACCUGUACAUUCAGAGGUGUUAUCAUCAUCAGCUGUAGCCAGCAUGGUGGAACAUUUUCUCUUUCCGUGUUUAGAAGAGAUAGAAAUAAGAAGGUGUGACAGCUUAACAGGGGUCCUCGAUCUUCCCCCAUCUCUCAAGGAAAUUAGAGUUUAUGAGUGCUGCGAGUUGAGAUCAGUGGAAUCCCACACGGGAGAGUUCCCAUCACUGGAGUGCCUCUCCAUCUGGAAUUGCAAAACCCUGUCAUCCCUACCGGAUGGGCCGCAAUUAUACGCAUCUCUCCAGUCUCUUACAUUAGACAGCUGUCCUGGUAUAAAUAGGCUCCCUGCAGGCCUGCGGCAACGUCUAAGGAGCAUUGAGAAGAAAUAUCUAGAUGCCCGCUAUCAAGAGCCAAGUCUACUGAAGCCCAGGACAUGGAGAAAUGCCUUUCGCAGAGAUUAG
RNAcentral lists this ribosomal RNA (1911 nucleotides) under Triticum aestivum (bread wheat). Its description in RNAcentral is "partial small subunit ribosomal RNA". The record is from RNAcentral. Lineage: Eukaryota; Viridiplantae; Streptophyta; Magnoliopsida; Poales; Poaceae.